This 443-nucleotide ribosomal RNA is filed under the name uncultured bacterium. RNAcentral's name for it is "bacterial SSU rRNA". It matches the Rfam family "Bacterial small subunit ribosomal RNA", at positions 352 to 787 of the family's 1533-position model. The record is from RNAcentral.
CAGUGGGGAAUUUUGGACAAUGGGCGCAAGCCUGAUCCAGCAAUGCCGCGUGCAGGAAGAAGGCCUUCGGGUUGUAAACUGCUUUUGUCAGGGAAGAAAUCUUCUGGGCUAAUACCCCGGGAGGAUGACGGUACCUGAAGAAUAAGCACCGGCUAACUACGUGCCAGCAGCCGCGGUAAUACGUAGGGUGCGAGCGUUAAUCGGAAUUACUGGGCGUAAAGCGUGCGCAGGCGGCUUUGCAAGACAGAGGUGAAAUCCCCGGGCUCAACCUGGGAACUGCCUUUGUGACUGCAAGGCUAGAGUACGGCAGAGGGGGAUGGAAUUCCGCGUGUAGCAGUGAAAUGCGUAGAUAUGCGGAGGAACACCGAUGGCGAAGGCAAUCCCCUGGGCCUGUACUGACGCUCAUGCACGAAAGCGUGGGGAGCAAACAGGAUUAGAUACCC